GCAUUGUACACACUGUGUUUUC
Molecule: microRNA, 22 nt
Filed under: Hyalella azteca
Lineage: Eukaryota; Metazoa; Arthropoda; Malacostraca; Amphipoda; Hyalellidae
Description: miR-460a
Source: RNAcentral